Molecule: ribosomal RNA, 1453 nt
Filed under: uncultured Pseudosphingobacterium sp.
Lineage: Bacteria; Pseudomonadati; Bacteroidota; Sphingobacteriia; Sphingobacteriales; Sphingobacteriaceae
Description: bacterial SSU rRNA
Rfam family: Bacterial small subunit ribosomal RNA
Source: RNAcentral
GAUGAACGCUAGCGGCAGGCAUAAUACAUGCAAGUCGGACGGGAUCUAUGGCUUCGGCUUUAGUGAGAGUGGCGGACGGGUGCGUAACGCGUGAGCAACCUACCCAUGCCAGGGGGACAGCCCGGGGAAACUCGGGUUAAUCCCGCAUGUUGCGUUCGGGUCGCAUGGCCUUUACGCUAAACAAUUUCGGGGCAUGGAUGGGCUCGCGUGGCAUUAGCUAGUCGGCGGGGUAACGGCCCACCGAGGCGAUGAUGCCUAGGGGCCCUGAGAGGGGGAUCCCCCACACCGGUACUGAGACACGGACCGGACUCCUACGGGAGGCAGCAGUAGGGAAUAUUGGUCAAUGGGCGGAAGCCUGAACCAGCCAUGCCGCGUGCGGGACGAAGGCCCUACGGGUCGUAAACCGCUUUUCUUCGGGAACAGUCCCCGCCACGAGUGGCGGGUCGAGGGUACCGUUGGAAUAAGGAUCGGCUAACUCCGUGCCAGCAGCCGCGGUAAUACGGAGGGUCCGAGCGUUAUCCGGAUUCAUUGGGUUUAAAGGGUGCGCAGGCGGCCUAUUAAGCAGGGGGUGAAAUAUGGCGGCUCAACCGCCUUACUGCCUCCUGAACUGUUGGGCUUGGAUGCCGUUGGGGGCGGCGGAAUGGGGCAAGUAGCGGUGAAAUGUAUAGAUAUGCCCCGGAACACCGAUCGCGGAGGCAGCUGCCCAAACGGUCAUCGACGCUGAUGCACGAAAGCGUGGGGAUCGAACAGGAUUAGAUACCCUGGUAGUCCACGCCGUAAACGAUGAUGGCUCGGUGCCGGCGACAGACUGUCGGUGCCCAAGCGAAAGCGUUAAGCCAUCCACCUGGGGAGUACGGCCGCAAGGCUGAAACUCAAAGGAAUUGACGGGGGCCCGCACAAGCGGAGGAGCAUGUGGUUUAAUUCGAUGAUACGCGAGGAACCUUACCCGGGCUUGAAAGUUAGCGACGGGGCCGGAGACGGUCCUUCCCUUUUGGGCGCGAAACUAGGUGCUGCAUGGCUGUCGUCAGCUCGUGUCGUGAGAUGUUGGGUUAAGUCCCGCAACGAGCGCAACCCUUGUCCUCAGUUGCCAGCACGUCAUGGUGGGAACUCUGGGGAGACCGCCGGCGACAAGCCGGAGGAAGGUGGGGAUGACGUCAAGUCAUCAUGGCCCUUACGGCCAGGGCUACACACGUACUACAAUGGGACGGACAGAGGGUUGCGAGCCUGCGAAGGUGAGCCAAUCCCAGAAACCGUCUCUCAGUCCGGAUCGGAGUCUGCAACUCGACUCCGUGAAGUCGGAAUCGCUAGUAAUCGCAGAUCAGCAUUGCUGCGGUGAAUACGUUCCCGGGCCUUGUACACACCGCCCGUCACACCAUGGGAGUGGGUUGCUCCAGAAGCAGGUAGCCUAACCGCAAGGAGGGCGCUUGCCACGGAGUGAUUCAUGACUGGGGUG